GCAAUGGGCGAAAGCCUGACGGAGCGACGCCGCGUGCGGGAUGAAGGCCUUCGGGUUGUAAACCGCUGUCAGUGGGGAGGAAAUCUGUGGGGGUUCUCCCCCGCAGUUGACCUAACCGCAGAGGAAGUCCGGGCUAAGUACGUGCCAGCAGCCGCGGUAAUACGUACCGGACGAACGUUAUUCGGAAUUACUGGGCUUAAAGAGUGCGUAGGCGGCUCACCAGGUGGGGUGUGAAAUCCCACGGCUCAACCGUGGAAUGGCGCCCCAAACCGGCGAGCUUGAGGAAGAUAGGGGUGAGCGGAACUGAUGGUGGAGCGGUGAAAUGCGUUGAUAUCAUCAGGAACACCGGUGGCGAAGGCGGCUCACUGGGUCUUAUCUGACGCUGAGGCACGAAAGCUAGGGUAGCGAACGGGAUUAGAUACCCCGGUAGUCCUAGCUGUAAACGAUGAGCACUAGAUCGUGGGGGCUUCCACACCCUCAUGGUCGUAGCGAAAGUGUUAAGUGCUCCGCCUGGGGAG
RNAcentral lists this ribosomal RNA (518 nucleotides) under uncultured bacterium. RNAcentral describes it as "bacterial SSU rRNA". It matches the Rfam family "Bacterial small subunit ribosomal RNA", at positions 368 to 880 of the family's 1533-position model. The record is from RNAcentral.